GGAAUCUUGGGCAAUGGGCGCAAGCCUGACCCAGCCAUGCCGCGUGUGUGAAGAAGGCCUUCGGGUUGUAAAGCACUUUCAGUGGUGAAGAAAAGCCUGGGGCUAAUACCCCCCAUGUCUUGACGUUAUCCACAGAAGAAGCACCGGCUCACUCCGUCCCAGCAGCCGCGGUAAUACGGAGGGUGCAAACGUUAAUCGGAAUUACUGGGCGUAAAGCGCGCGUAGGCGGUGUGAUAAGUGGGAUGUGAAAGCCCCGGGCUUAACCUGGGAACUGCAUUCCAAACUGUCACGCUAGAGUAUGGUAGAGGGAGGUGGAAUUUCCUGUGUAGCGGUGAAAUGCGUAGAUAUAGGAAGGAACACCAGUGGCGAAGGCGGCCUCCUGGACCAAUACUGACGCUGAGGUGCGAAAGCGUGGGGAGCA
This 421-nucleotide ribosomal RNA is filed under the name uncultured bacterium. RNAcentral describes it as "bacterial SSU rRNA". It matches the Rfam family "Bacterial small subunit ribosomal RNA", at positions 358 to 770 of the family's 1533-position model. The record is from RNAcentral.